AUCCACACGACUCUCGGCAACGGAUAUCUCGGCUCUCGCAUCGAUGAAGAACGUAGCGAAAUGCGAUACCUGGUGUGAAUUGCAGAAUCCCGCGAACCAUCGAGUCUUUGAACGCAAGUUGCGCCCGAGGCCUCUUGGUUGAGGGCACGCCUGCCUGGGCGUC
RNAcentral lists this ribosomal RNA (163 nucleotides) under Puccinellia distans. RNAcentral's name for it is "5.8S ribosomal RNA". It matches the Rfam family "5.8S ribosomal RNA". From Rfam's summary of the family: 5.8S ribosomal RNA (5.8S rRNA) is a component of the large subunit of the eukaryotic ribosome. It is transcribed by RNA polymerase I as part of the 45S precursor that also contains 18S and 28S rRNA. Functionally, it is thought that 5.8S rRNA may be involved in ribosome translocation. The record is from RNAcentral. RNAcentral also lists the same sequence under 1 other name. Lineage: Eukaryota; Viridiplantae; Streptophyta; Magnoliopsida; Poales; Poaceae.